RNAcentral lists this ribosomal RNA (431 nucleotides) under Opitutales bacterium. RNAcentral describes it as "bacterial SSU rRNA". It matches the Rfam family "Bacterial small subunit ribosomal RNA", at positions 1103 to 1533 of the family's 1533-position model. The record is from RNAcentral. Lineage: Bacteria; Pseudomonadati; Verrucomicrobiota; Opitutia; Opitutales.
CCUCGUCCUUAGUUGCCAGCACGUAAUGGUGGGGACUCUAAGGAGACAAACUCUCUUUGAGAGUGGGAAGGUGGGGAUGACGUCAGGUCAGUAUGGCCCUUACGCCUAGGGCUACACACGUGCUACAAUGCCCGGUACAAUAGGACGCAAUACCGCGAGGUGGAGCAAAUCCUCAAAACCGGGCCCAGUUCGGAUUGGAGUCUGCAACUCGACUCCAUGAAGUCGGAAUCGCUAGUAAUGACGUAUCAGCUAUGACGUCGUGAAUACGUUCCCGGGCCUUGUACACACCGCCCGUCACAUCAUGAAAGCCGGUUUUGCCCGAAGUACGUGAGCUAUCCCUCGGGAAGCAGCGUCCUAAGGCAGGGCUGGUGAUUGGGAUGAAGUCGUAACAAGGUAGCCGUAGGGGAACCUGCGGCUGGAUCACCUCCUUU